CUUGGCAUCUAUUAGUUUUGACUCUGCUAUUUCAUUUUGUGUUCACCUCCUUUCCAUAUAGUAGCACUAAAAUUGAUGCAUAUACUUGUCCAAAUUUUUUAAAUUUUAAGAAACCAAAACCCCCUCCUCCACCGCCCUCUUAGGUUGUCAUAUAUAGGCAAUAAGUGGUAUCAUAGGUUGGUUUUCUGCCCCUUUUAAUUUAACUAUUUGGAGUAAAAGAUCAAUGGCAAUCC
Molecule: long non-coding RNA, 233 nt
Filed under: Elaeis guineensis (African oil palm)
Lineage: Eukaryota; Viridiplantae; Streptophyta; Magnoliopsida; Arecales; Arecaceae
Description: long non-coding RNA (EGUI_LNC047269)
Source: RNAcentral